Molecule: ribosomal RNA, 478 nt
Filed under: uncultured bacterium
Lineage: Bacteria
Description: partial 16S ribosomal RNA
Rfam family: Bacterial small subunit ribosomal RNA
Source: RNAcentral
GAUGAACGCUGGCGGCGUGCUUAACACAUGCAAGUCGAACGGGAAUUAUUUUAUUGAAACUUCGGUCGAUUUAAUUUAAUUCUAGUGGCGGACGGGUGAGUAACGCGUGGGUAACCUGCCUUAUACAGGGGGAUAACAGUCAGAAAUGGCUGCUAAUACCGCAUAAGCGCACAGAGCUGCAUGGCUCAGUGUGAAAAACUCCGGUGGUAUAAGAUGGACCCGCGUUGGAUUAGCUGGUUGGUGGGGUAACGGCCCACCAAGGCGACGAUCCAUAGCCGGCAUGAGAGGGUGAACGGCCACAUUGGGACUAAGACACGGCCCAGACUCCUACGGGAGGCAGCAGUGGGGAAUAUUGCACAAUGGGGGAAGCCCUGAUGCAGCGACGCCGCGUGAAGGAAGAAGUAUCUCGGUAUGUAAACUUCUAUCAGCAGGGAAGAUAGUGACGGUACCUGACUAAGAAGCCCCGGCUAACUACGUG